RNAcentral lists this transfer RNA (76 nucleotides) under TM7 phylum sp. oral taxon 351. Its description in RNAcentral is "tRNA-Thr". It matches the Rfam family "tRNA". Rfam says of the family: Transfer RNA (tRNA) molecules are approximately 80 nucleotides in length. RNAcentral also lists the same sequence under 4 other names. The record is from RNAcentral. Lineage: Bacteria; Candidatus Saccharimonadota.
GCCAUUGUAGCUCAGUUGGUAGAGCAGCUCAUUCGUAACGAGCAGGUCGCAGGUUCGAUCCCUGUCAAUGGCUCCA